This 459-nucleotide ribosomal RNA is filed under the name uncultured bacterium. RNAcentral describes it as "partial 16S ribosomal RNA". It matches the Rfam family "Bacterial small subunit ribosomal RNA", at positions 338 to 795 of the family's 1533-position model. The record is from RNAcentral.
CCUACGGGGGGCAGCAGUGAGGAAUAUUGGUCAAUGGGCGGGAGCCUGAACCAGCCAAGUCGCGUGAAGGAAGAAGGUACUUAGUAUUGUAAACUUCUUUUGUCGGGGAACAAAGGCGGAGGCGCGUCUCCGGAUGAGUGUACCCGACGACAAAGCAUCGGCUAACACCGUGCCAGCAGCGGCGGUAGUACGGGGGAUUCGAGCGUUAUCUGGAUUUGUUGGGGUUAAUGGGUGCGCAGGGGGGAGAUCAAGUGCGCGAGAAACGGUCGGGGCUCAACCCCGGCCGGCCGUGGAAACGGGUUGGCUAGAGUUGGAGAGAGGUGUGCGGAAUUCGUGGUGUAGCGGUGAAAUGCAUAGAUAUCACGAAGAACUCCGAUUGCGAAGGCAGCAGACCGGACCCAUACUGACGCUGAGGCACGAAAGCGUGGGGAGCGAACAGGAUUAGAUACCCGUGUAGUC